AUGAACGCUGGCGGCGUGCCUAAUACAUGCAAGUCGAGCGAACAGACGAGGAGCUUGCUCCUCUGACGUUAGCGGCGGACGGGUGAGUAACACGUGGAUAACCUACCUAUAAGACUGGGAUAACUUCGGGAAACCGGAGCUAAUACCGGAUAAUAUAUUGAACCGCAUGGUUCAAUAGUGAAAGACGGUUUUGCUGUCACUUAUAGAUGGAUCCGCGCCGCAUUAGCUAGUUGGUAAGGUAACGGCUUACCAAGGCAACGAUGCGUAGCCGACCUGAGAGGGUGAUCGGCCACACUGGAACUGAGACACGGUCCAGACUCCUACGGGAGGCAGCAGUAGGGAAUCUUCCGCAAUGGGCGAAAGCUUGACGGAGCAACGCCGCGUGAGUGAUGAAGGUCUUCGGAUCGUAAAAUUCUGUUAUUAGGGAAGAACAAAUGUGUAAGUAACUAUGCACGUCUUGACGGUACCUAAUCAGAAAGCCACGGCUAACUACGUG
This 496-nucleotide ribosomal RNA is filed under the name uncultured bacterium. RNAcentral's name for it is "partial 16S ribosomal RNA". It matches the Rfam family "Bacterial small subunit ribosomal RNA", at positions 29 to 507 of the family's 1533-position model. The record is from RNAcentral.